This 253-nucleotide ribosomal RNA is filed under the name uncultured bacterium. RNAcentral describes it as "partial 16S ribosomal RNA". It matches the Rfam family "Bacterial small subunit ribosomal RNA", at positions 524 to 776 of the family's 1533-position model. The record is from RNAcentral.
UACGCAGGGCGCAAGCGUUGUCCGGAAUUAUUGGGCGUAAAGAGCUCGUAGGCGGCUUGUCACGUCGGGUGUGAAAGCCCGGGGCUUAACCCCGGGUCUGCAUUCGAUACGGGCUAGCUAGAGUGUGGUAGGGGAGAUCGGAAUUCCUGGUGUAGCGGUGAAAUGCGCAGAUAUCAGGAGGAACACCGGUGGCGAAGGCGGAUCUCUGGGCCAUUACUGACGCUGAGGCGCGAAAGCUGGGGGAGCAAACGGG